GAAGAAAAUGAUGAGGGCCCAGGAAUCCAAGAUGGACAAGAAAUUUCAGCAGCUCUGCCAAAGAAUUCAAACUCUGGAACAAGAAUUCUACGGGAGGCAGGGGUCCAAACAGCACAUCCUUCAGCUCCUCGGAGCAAACAUGGAGAUAGAACAAGGUGUGCUGAUAGAAAGUGCUUCAGAAGACGAGGCCAUGAUACAGAUGCAUAGACAACUCCUGAGCUGGUGAAGCAUUGAUCAACAAAAUUAAAGUCUGGCACUCAUUACAUUUCUCUUGAGCUUGGCCCCCCACCCCCUGCACUCCCUGGGCUUGCUGUGUUGGGAAGUGCUCGUGCUGCCGGAAGACUGAGAUAAUUGUUAGGGCUUUUCUCCCUCCUGUGAGCUGGUUCCUGCUGUGCCAGGGCAGAUCCAUCCACUGCCUGGUUUCAAACAAGUGAAAGCAACAGCAGCCAAAGUGCAACCCAGAGCAGAGCUGAAUUACCCAGCGAGCUCUACACAAAAUCUCAGGCAGAGUCCUGGGAAUCCUGGAUUUUAAGUGUUUUAACAUUUUGCGUGUGUGAAGAAUCUGGGAUGUACAGCAGUGGGGGAACCAUUUCACCUGGAGAAUGAAGUGUUCAGUUGCAAUCCUGAUUUUUCUGUGACAUGUUUACUACACUCGCAUUACCUGUCUUCUUUCCCGUUUCUGUUUUUAGUUAAUGUGUACAGCACAAGUGUAGAAUUAGCAUGUUCCUCCUGAGGCCGGGGCAACACCUGUCUUCCAAGGGUGCCUGUGCCCUGCGCAGGCAGAGGAGUUCCCUUAGAGUAAGAGAACCACCACUGUGCCCCGCUAGUUGGGCACCAUCUGUCACAGUCGCAGGGGAGAGAAGCCGCGACAGCCGGGGGUUCGUGCAGAGUGGUAGCUCGAAGCUAUUGCAGCCUUAUUAGGGUGUGCCACCCCUAUUCAUAGGGCGGCAGGAGAAGGUUCCAGAAACCAGGGAGGAGCAUAGGACAGGCAGGGACAUGGACCAGUCAGAAGGGAAAGGAGGGAAUAAGGGAGAAAUAGGAGCCAAUAAGGAAAACAUCUGCAAUGCAGCAGAUUGCAGCCAGUCAGAAAAUAGGUAAUAAACAUGAGGAGAAAACUGU
Long non-coding RNA from Manacus vitellinus (golden-collared manakin), 1119 nucleotides. RefSeq lists it as uncharacterized. The record is from RefSeq and is a predicted model, not a curated record. The transcript has 2 exons. NCBI's taxonomy places the organism in Eukaryota, Metazoa, Chordata, Aves, Passeriformes, Pipridae.